Schistosoma mansoni is the source of this 44-nucleotide non-coding RNA. Lineage: Eukaryota; Metazoa; Platyhelminthes; Trematoda; Strigeidida; Schistosomatidae. The record is from Rfam.
AUCGAACUGACGAGUCCCAAAUGGGACGAAACGUCCGUCUGGAU